This 217-nucleotide unclassified non-coding RNA is filed under the name Hevea brasiliensis (rubber tree). Lineage: Eukaryota; Viridiplantae; Streptophyta; Magnoliopsida; Malpighiales; Euphorbiaceae. The record is from RNAcentral.
GCAUGCCUCAAAUUGCCUACUCUACUGUGGUAUUUAAAAAAUAAUAUGGUUGAACCAGAUCUUGUGCCCUGAAUCCAGUGACAACCCCGUCAUCAAUGUUAAACCAAAAUUGAUAGAUGUGCCAAAUCAUCAAUUUUACUGCAUAGCUCCUGACUUGCCUGUUGAAUCAUUAAUUGAGCAUACAGAAUUCCCAUCAAUCAAAAGCAGCCCAAACCAC